UUUGAGAGUUGACGUGGCUCAGACGAAAGCGGCGCGUGCAAAUACACAAUUGAGCCUCGAGUUUUUUUUUGGUACUGUACCAUACUGAUACACACACCGAACGUGAGUAACGCGUGGGGAAUCUCCUUGAGCGGAGGAAAACAUUUGAACGAAUGCUCACCGCUAAAAACUGUAAAAACCAAUUUUAAUUUAAAUCAAUUGAAAUCACUCAAAAGACCCGCGUGUAUAGCUAUUGUGAGGUAAAGCUCACAAGCACAAGCAACACCAGAACUAACACAGCCGCGCUGAGAUGAUUGCACAUUGGGUGACUGAGACACGCCCAAACUCCUACGAGGCCGCAUAGAAUCUCGGCAAUGGAACGAAAGUCUGAAGACAACGCCGCGUGAGUGAAGAAGGUUCUUCGAUGCGUAAAACUCUUGUGAAGAGAAGCAACGUUGUGAGAGUGAAACGCUCAUCAAGUACGCUAACUACCCAGAUAAGGGACGGCAACUACUGCCAGCAGAUCCCGUAAAUAGUAGCCCGAACGGCCGGAUUUAUGCGCGUAAGCGAAGCAGCAGUGGUAUACAGUCUGUGUAAAAGCAGUGGCUCAACCAGUGAUGCAAAUUGGAAACUGGUAGACUAGUCGCGUAGAGGAGAAGGGAAAUUCCAUGUGUGCGGUGAAAAGCGUAGAUAAUGGGGGAACAUCACCGGUGCCGGAAAGCGGCUCCUGCCUGUAAAACUGACACUACAGAGCCGAACGCGUGGGACAAAACAGGAUAUUACCUUGGAGUCCCACGCCGUAAACGAUGAUCCUAGAUGUAAAAAACAGGGACUAUAAUUUGCUGUAUCGCAGCGACCAUAAGUCACUCCGCCUGGGAGUACGACCGCAAGGUUGAACCAAAAGAAUGGACGGGAACGCACAAGCGUGAAGCAUGUUUAACGACACAAAGCGAAGACCUACCCAUCUGGACAUAACUCGUGCUAUUCCUAGAGUAAAGGAACUUUCCUCGGGACAAACACAAUCGGAUAUGCAGGUGGUGCAUGUUGUUCGUCAGCUCGGUCGUGAAUGUUGGGUUCAGUCCCGCACGAGCGGCCCCAGUUAGUUGCCAUCAUUAAUUGCCACUCUAACGAACUGCCGGGAAAACGCAGAGGUGGGGUGACCGGUCAAAUCAUCCAUGCCUCGUAUUGGGCACACACCUGCUACAAUGAUGUACAACGAGUCCAGAGACGUGUAUUUGCUAAUCCUUCCAAACCUCCAGCUCGCGAGUGGCUGCAACAUCGCCUACAGAAGUCGAAUCGCUAGGAAUCGCGGAUCACAACGCGCGUAAUAAUCCCAGGGCCUUACAACACUCGUCCGUCACCCGACGGGAGUUGGAUACCCGAAGUAGGUUGCCUUAACCCAAAGGGCGCUCCUAAGGUAAGACGAUGACUGGGUCGAAGUCGUUACAAGGAGCCGUAUCGGAAGUCGGUGGAUCACUCCUU
Molecule: ribosomal RNA, 1461 nt
Filed under: Lactococcus lactis
Lineage: Bacteria; Bacillati; Bacillota; Bacilli; Lactobacillales; Streptococcaceae
Description: bacterial SSU rRNA
Rfam family: Bacterial small subunit ribosomal RNA
Source: RNAcentral